GACGAACGCUGGCGGCGUGCUUAACACAUGCAAGUCGAACGGAAAGGGCCUGCGUAUUUGUGGGGCGCGAGUGGCGAACGGGUGAGUAACACGGGAGUGACCUGCCCUUGACUUUGGGAGAACUUCAGGAAACUGGGGCUAAUACCGGAUAGGAGCUCCUGCUGCAUGGUGGGGGUUGGAAAGUUUCGGCGGUUGGGGAUGGACUCGCGGCUGAGCAGCUUGUUGGUGGGGUAGUGGCUUACCAAGGCUUUGACGGGUAGCCGGCCUGAGGGGGUGACCGGCCACAUUGGGACUGAGAUACGGCCCAGACUCCUACGGGGGGCAGCAGUGGGGAAUAUUGCACAAUGGGCGGCAGCCUGAUGCAGCAACGCCGCGUGCGGGAUGACGGCCUUCGGGUUGUAAACCGCUUUCGCCUGUGACGACGCGUCAGUGAAGGUAAUGGGUCAAGAAGCACCGGCUAACUACGUG
This 468-nucleotide ribosomal RNA is filed under the name uncultured bacterium. Its description in RNAcentral is "partial 16S ribosomal RNA". It matches the Rfam family "Bacterial small subunit ribosomal RNA", at positions 28 to 507 of the family's 1533-position model. The record is from RNAcentral.